This is an RNA transcript of Cucurbita moschata (crookneck pumpkin), 2449 nucleotides long. RefSeq lists it as uncharacterized. The transcript is spliced from 5 exons. The record is from RefSeq and is a predicted model, not a curated record. NCBI's taxonomy places the organism in Eukaryota, Viridiplantae, Streptophyta, Magnoliopsida, Cucurbitales, Cucurbitaceae.
GAAAUUGGAAAUUGGAAUUGUAGCGCUGAAGCUCGUCUUCGAGCUUGAAAUUGCAGGAGUCGGUGCUUAGAAAUUCCAGAGAUUUUUUCCCCUUAAAAUGUCAAUUUCGAAUGCAAUUCUACAGUUCUAGUUUCACACGGAGAAAAUUGCCGAGCGUUGGGUUCUUGUAGUCUCUGAGUUGCUCUAUUCUCUGAUUUUUGGUUCUUAAUCGAGAAAUAAGCGUUCAAGAGGAAGAUAUACGUAGUUUAGGUGUAAAAUGAUUGAUCUGUUUCUGGCUGAGCCUGUCUUUAACGAAGAAGAUGAUGUUGGCUCUGCGAAGUUGAGAAUUUCUUUGUUAAGCAGAUUAGAAUCUGUUUUAUGGAAAUUGCUGGCUUCUGGAGGACGGUCCGAGGUCCGAUUAUGGCUUUCUAAUACUAUAGCUAGUAUGACAUCUAUCAGUCCCCAGCAUCAGCGAGAACUGUUCAUGACCUUUCUGAGAUCGAAGCCACUGAAGUGGGACUUUGCAUCUCACUUACUGCAAAUGUUCUUUGAAAAGAGACAACGAGAAGCAGGAGUUCUCAUUGCCAAGAGAAGCUACAUCAUGGAGAAGUUUUUUGAAGGAAACCCAAGACGAAUAUCUCAGUGGUUUUCGAAUUUUGCUACAAAUGGUGCAUCUGAUCAUGGAAAAGGUGCCAAGGCCUUGGCACAGUUUUCUUUUGUAAAUCGAGACAUUUGCUGGGAGGAGCUUGAGUGGAACGGGAAACACGGGCAGUCUCCUGCCGUGGUUGCGACAAAGCCCCAUUAUUUUCUUGAUCUGGAUGUGCAUCAAACUGUGAAGAAUUUCAUUAAGAAUGUACCUGAGUUUUGGUAUUCCAAUGAGUUUUCCGAGUCACUAAAAGAUGGUGAAAUUUUGUUCCUCGAUACAAAAUUCUUCGUGAAAUAUCUCUUCGAUCAAAUGCUUAAAGAUGAUUCAAGAGAUGUUUGGGAUGCCAUUAAUGAGUUCCUAACGCAGGAGCCAUUUUCUUCAUUAUGUCAACACCUCCUUAUUACUCUUGAAGAAGCUGAUUUCUGCUGCUUUCUAAAAAUGCUAUGUAAACUCCUCCGCCCCAGUAGGGAAACCAAGGAUUUUGGUAAUUCAUCUUUUCUGUUUGAGGUCGUACUUUCUAAAUAUGGUGACGCUGAAUCUCUAGAUCAGAUUUUACUAUUAAACGCUGUCAUUAAUCAAGGACGCCAACUUCUACGGUUUGUACAAGAUGAAGAUGCAGAGGAAGAAUUGGAUGAAAUCAAGACUAUUAUUUACGAGAUUUCAGCAAUCUCAAGCAACACUCAUAGCUUAUCCCCGCUAUUGAAAGAGUGCUACAGGAGAAAAAAGACAAUAGAGGUGAUAAAAUGGCUAGGGCUUCAGUCUUGGGUUCUUCACUAUAGAAUGUCAGAUGAAUGUCAAACUUCUGAGUUAUGGGAAUCCUUGUUUGUUGAUAAUGGCAUAUGCUUCCGAAAAUCUAAUGAAUAUGCAUUGUUAGAUCACAGCUGUCUAUCAGAAGAUGAUGGUUUUGAACCGUGUAAUACAGCAUCAGUUAAAUCUAAGAAGCGAAAAAGAGGGAAAAAAGGUAGAAAAAGAAGAAAAAGGGACUUUGACGAUGAGGAUAGCUGCGACGAUGAGCUGUUGGACUUUGAUAUUAAAAGGGAUAAAACGGAUUUGAAGUUAAACACUGGAAGUUGGUUGCUUUCCAUUGACAACUAUACCGUACCAUGGAAUGCUAUUGAUCUACCAGAAUACCUAUCAAAGCAAUGUAUGGCUUCAUGGAUGAAAUGGCUGUUUACUAACCGAGAAUGAAGAAUGAAGCUUUGCUAGUAGUGUGAAAUAUAUCCAGCAUUCGGAAGGAGGCUGGUUACGAUCUUCGGAAACCGUGAUGUCGCAACAAGAUCACUGUUACCAACAGAUGUAAUCGCGAUCAAAUGAAUUGGUAAGGCAAGGGAUCAUGUGAUGACCACAGGCUCGUUGUACUAUACAUGAUGUAGCAUCUACGGAUAUUAUGAUUCACUUAAGAAUCAAAAUCUCUAAACCCAUGUGCUCGGAUGAAAGUCAGCCUUAGUAAUCCGACGAUGCCGAGUGGAAGGGUCGUUGCUCAAUAGAUAAAAGUUACUCUACAGGUAACAAGCUGAUCUUCUCCAAGAGCUCACAUCAACGGGAAGGUUUGACACCUGGAUGUCAGCUCUUCGUCACCUGGGGUUGUUGUAUGUUCCAAGGGUUGGAUUGUUCGCCCAUUAAAGUGGUACGUGACAGAAGGCUUGAUCCUCAUUGAACUUUGUCUCCAGCUUUGGGGUUCAAAUCCGAGCAAAGCGCAUAAAUGAAGGGGGAAAUACAACCUUACUUGAACAGGAUUUGCUUUUUAGACUAUGCGGGUGCAUCCCGACCUCGAGUUCUAAGAAGGGGGAAGUAGAAUCGACAAUGGAGGGGAUGGUAAGUGUA